Molecule: non-coding RNA, 648 nt
Organism: Pelobates cultripes (western spadefoot toad)
Lineage: Eukaryota; Metazoa; Chordata; Amphibia; Anura; Pelobatidae
Source: the annotation of a GenBank genome assembly
GCCAGACACUCUUUCUCCACGGUGGCAUAGCUGACUUCGCGUGGUAACAGUUUUCUGCUCAGAUACGCCACCGGGUGAUCCAUGCCAUCGUCUCCCACCUGGCUCAAUACUGCUCCCAGUCCAAACAUUGAGGCAUCUGUGUGAACGAGAAACCUUUUAGUAUGAUCAGGUGCCGCCAACACAGGAGAUGCAUGUAACGCAGCCUUGAGUUUCUGGAAGGCCUCCUCACACUCAGUGGACCAGACUACUUGUCGGGGUAGGGACUUUUUGGUGAGGUCUGUCAAGGGCUUGGCGAGGGCACUGUAUUCCACUACAAAUUUCCUGUAAUAACCUGCGGUGCCCAAGAACGUCAUGACCUGUGUUUUCGUCUGGGGUUGGGGCCACUGGGUGAUGGCCUCAAUCUUAGCAGGCUCUGGUUUUCCUGACCCUACUCUGUGGACUAAAUAUUGGACUUCAGCCAUGCCCACGUGGCAUUUCUCAGGCUUCAAGGUGAGCCCUGCAUUCUGAAUUCGGUUGAGCACUACUGAGAUGUACUCCAGGUGGGCUUCCCAAGUGCCACUGAAGAUAGCUAUAUCGUCCAGGUAAGCACAAGCGAAGCCCUGAAAUCCCUCUAGGAGCCGGUCUGCCAUCCUUUGAAACGUAGCUGGG